AGUCACCGGCGAAAUGCUUAGUAACACGUUACUAAUCUGCCCAUAAGUCUUGGAUAGCCUUGGGAAACUGAGGGUAAUACGAGAUAGAACAUACAUUCUGGAAUGAAGUAUGUUCCAAAGAUUUAUCGCUUAUGGAUGAGGUAGCGGCUGAUUAGCUUGUUGGUAGGGUAAUGGCCUACCAAGGCGAUGAUCAGUAGGGGCCAUGAAAGUGGUAGCCCCAAGAAGGACACUGAGAUACUGGUCCUAGCCCUACGGGGUGCAGCAGGCGCGAAACCUCUACAAUGCACGAAAGUGUGAUAGGGGAAUUCGAAGUGCUCAUGGAUUCCAUGGGCUUUUCUUAAGAGUAAAUAUCUUUUGGAAUAAGUGGUGGGCAAGACUGGUGCCAGCAGCCGCGGUAACACCAGCGCCACGAGUGGCAAUCGCAUAUUGAGCCUAAAGCGUUCGUAGUCGGCUUGGUAAAUCUUUCGUGAAACUGUUCAGCUUAACUGAACAAUGUGCGGGAGACACUGCCUUGCUUGGAACCGGGAGGAGUUAAGAGUAUUCUAGGGGGAGCGGUAAAAUGUGAUAAUCCCUGAAGGACUACCUGUGGCGAAGGCGCUUAACUAGGAACGGAUUCGACGAUGAGGAACGAAGGCUAGGGGAGCAAAACGGAUUAGAUACCCGAGUAGUCCUAGCAGUAAACGCUGCGAGCCAGGUGUUGUGCAUUCUUUGAAUGUGCAGUAUCGAAGCGAAGGCGAUAAGCUCGCCGCCUGGGAAGUACGGUCGCAAGGCUGAAACUUAAAGGAAUUGGCGGGGGAGCACUACAACGGGUGCGACGUGCGAUUUAAUCUAAUUCCACACAGAAAAUCUCACCAAAGGCGCCGGCAGGAUGAUAGUCGUGUUAAAGACACUACUGGACGAGCCGAGAGGUAGUGCAUGGCCGCCGUCAGCUCGUGCCGUAAGGUGUCCUGUUAAGUCAGGCAACGAGCGAGACCUACAUCUACAAUUGGCAGCAACAAAUUCGUUUGGUUUGGUCACAUUGUAGAGACUGCCCGUGAAAACGGGAGGAAGGUGUAGGCAACGGUAGGUCUGUAUGCUCCGAAUCCUUUGGGCUAUACGCGCGUAACAAUGGUCAAGACAAUGGGCUGCUACUCCGAAAGGAGGCGCUAAUCCUCGAAACUUGGUCCUAGUUCAGAUUGAGGGUUGGAACUCACCCUCAUGACGCUGGAAUCCGUAGUA
RNAcentral lists this ribosomal RNA (1218 nucleotides) under uncultured euryarchaeote. RNAcentral describes it as "bacterial SSU rRNA". It matches the Rfam family "Archaeal small subunit ribosomal RNA", at positions 73 to 1296 of the family's 1478-position model. Lineage: Archaea; Methanobacteriati; Methanobacteriota. The record is from RNAcentral.